Molecule: unclassified non-coding RNA, 20 nt
Filed under: Chlamydomonas reinhardtii
Lineage: Eukaryota; Viridiplantae; Chlorophyta; Chlorophyceae; Chlamydomonadales; Chlamydomonadaceae
Description: small RNA Cre_1096
Source: RNAcentral
CCGCGAUUCCGACAUUGUGU